GAUGAACGCUGGCUACAGGCUUAACACAUGCAAGUCGAGGGGAAACGGCAUUGAGUGCUUGCACUGAAUGGACGUCGACCGGCGCACGGGUGAGUAACGCGUAUCCAACCUUCCCGUUACUGCGGGAUAACCUGCCGAGAGGCAGACUAAUACCGCAUGUUCUUCGAUGACGGCAUCAGAUUCGAAGCAAAGAUCCGUCGGUAACGGAGGGGGAUGCGUCUGAUUAGCUAGUUGGCGGGGCGACGGCCCACCAAGGCGACGAUCAGUAGGGGUUCUGAGAGGAAGGUCCCCCACAUUGGAACUGAGACACGGUCCAAACUCCUACGGGAGGCAGCAGUGAGGAAUAUUGGUCAAUGGGCGGAAGCCUGAACCAGCCAAGUAGCGUGCAGGAUGACGGCCCUACGGGUUGUAAACUGCUUUUAUGCGGGGAUAAAGUGAGGGACGCGUCCCUUUUUGCAGGUACCGCAUGAAUAAGGACCGGCUAAUUCCGUG
This 492-nucleotide ribosomal RNA is filed under the name uncultured bacterium. RNAcentral describes it as "partial 16S ribosomal RNA". It matches the Rfam family "Bacterial small subunit ribosomal RNA", at positions 28 to 507 of the family's 1533-position model. The record is from RNAcentral.